UUAUUUUUCUCGUUCCAAUUCGGGUGCAUAUUGUUACAUGUUUUAAUCGAAAAUUGUGAUCUCUUUAGUGUAGAACGAAAUGUUGCAGUUUAUGCUCCUGUUCAGCCGGCAAGGCAAACUUAGGCUACAGAAAUGGUACGUCGCACACUCGGAUAAGGUGAAGAAGAAGAUCACCCGCGAACUGAUCACAACAAUCCUCUCCCGUAAGCCGAAGAUGUGUUCCUUCUUGGAGUGGAAAGACUGCACGAUCGUUUACAAAAGAUACGCCAGCUUGUACUUUUGUUGCGCUAUCGAACAGAACGAUAAUGAGCUGUUAACGCUGGAAGUAAUACACAGAUACGUAGAGCUGUUGGAUAAAUACUUCGGUAGUGUCUGUGAGCUGGACAUUAUUUUCAACUUCGAGAAGGCCUAUUUCAUACUGGACGAGCUGCUGGUGGGAGGAGAAAUACAGGAAACGUCUAAAAAGAACGUCCUUAAGGCAAUCGCAGCUCAAGAUGUGCUACAAGAGCAAAAGGAACUGGAGUGCUAAUAUGUGCGAAUGAAUGAAACACUAGCCAUAAUCUUAAAACAUGAAAGCUACAACAAGCUACUUCUUUGUUCCGUUUCCUGCUCCGCUAUUGUGCAUUAGGCGCCGUUGCUGGUUCUACACAAGCAGGCAAAUAGUUUCGUACAGAAAAUGGCUUUAUGGUUUGGCAAGCGAAUACUCCGUGCUUCCCUUAGUUUGGCACUCUCAACAGCAGGCAAUAUAGCAUGUCAAUCGACAGAACCGGGCAUAUAACAAAGGCGCGCGCAUCUUCACGCUCAUCUAUGCUGUAAAUAUGCAAUGGACGAAACGCCACAAGGAUUCUUCGAGGAUCAUGGGCUCGGAUAGACGGCGGCCGGUGUCGGUGGAACGUGACGUAUCCUUUCGCUAGCCAAAGCUCGCAACGAAUUAUGAUUUACGUAGUAGUAUUGUUUGGCCACCAACUCUGUACCAUGCUCUGCUGGAGUUGCAGUAUUGGCGUAUUUCAGUUUUAGCGAAUUUAUCAAUUUUUAAUGUUCGGCAAUUCAAUUUACUUUGAUACGUCGCCAUGUCGACAGUGUAUGGCGUCAAUUCUUCUCCACAUAUCAUAUAAUUUAAAGUCAACUUUCUACGCACAGUUGUUCCACAACAUGUGCUUCAAAAUCCACACGAUGCGAUAUUUUCAUCAGACACCGUCAAACAUAGCAGCGCCGCUACCCAAAUGAGCUUUCCUCGUGAUGCGAUUCAGUGGAAGAAGAUGAAGGAGGUGGACGACGGGGGAGCAGUUUUCCUACUCAAAAGCUGCCCACUUUCAUCCUGUACUUAAGAGAUGUGUAGGAUAAUUCGUCAACAUUUCCAUCGGCAAAGAGAGCGGAAGUGUCGAAUGCGGAAGUUUCUCCCAUUACCAAUUGUAGCUGGUCCGUCAUCAGUCUCUGUGCACCUGUGCUCAGUUUCAGCGUUGGAACAGUGCAGAAGUGCAUAUCACCACAAGACAGAUAAGCGUAAAAUAACGCAUUGAUGAUGAGUGAUCGAAGAUAAACGACCUACAUUACACGUAGCAUUUAUAUAGGGUAGAGACAUACUCGUCGUUGAUAAUGAUGUUAGUUUAACGUAAUAGUGAGAACAUAUUCCUGAUAUACUUAUCAAUACAAGAACAUGCGAUUUCUAAUAAAA
This is an RNA transcript of Anopheles moucheti, 1675 nucleotides long. It is a transcript of the gene named AP-1 complex subunit sigma-2, with no coding region annotated. The transcript is spliced from 6 exons. NCBI's taxonomy places the organism in Eukaryota, Metazoa, Arthropoda, Insecta, Diptera, Culicidae. The record is from RefSeq and is a predicted model, not a curated record.